AGAGUUUGAUCAUGGCUCAGAUUGAACGCUGGCGGCAUGCCUUACACAUGCAAGUCGAACGGCAGCACGGGAGCAAUCCUGGUGGCGAGUGGCGAACGGGUGAGUAAAGUAUCGGAACGUGCCCAGUCGUGGGGGAUAACGUAGCGAAAGCUACGCUAAUACCGCAUACGAUCUAUGGAUGAAAGCGGGGGAUCGCAAGACCUCGCGCGAUUGGAGCGGCCGAUAUCAGAUUAGGUAGUUGGUGGGGUAAAGGCCUACCAAGCCGACGAUCUGUAGCUGGUCUGAGAGGACGACCAGCCACACUGGGACUGAGACACGGCCCAGACUCCUACGGGAGGCAGCAGUGGGGAAUUUUGGACAAUGGGCGCAAGCCUGAUCCAGUAAUGCCGCGUGCAGGAUGAAGGCCUUCGGGUUGUAAACUGCUUUUGUACGGAGCGAAAAGGCUUCCACUAAUACUGGAGGCUCAUGACGGUACCGUAAGAAUAAGCACCGGCUAACUACGUGCCAGCAGCCGCGGUAAUACGUAGGGUGCAAGCGUUAAUCGGAAUUACUGGGCGUAAAGCGUGCGCAGGCGGUCUUGUAAGACAGGUGUGAAAUCCCCGGGCUUAACCUGGGAACUGCACUUGUGACUGCAAGGCUGGAGUACGGCAGAGGGGGAUGGAAUUCCGCGUGUAGCAGU
Molecule: ribosomal RNA, 679 nt
Filed under: uncultured bacterium
Lineage: Bacteria
Description: bacterial SSU rRNA
Rfam family: Bacterial small subunit ribosomal RNA
Source: RNAcentral